Molecule: ribosomal RNA, 364 nt
Filed under: bacterium enrichment culture DGGE gel band MRS7
Lineage: Bacteria
Description: bacterial SSU rRNA
Rfam family: Bacterial small subunit ribosomal RNA
Source: RNAcentral
CCAGGUCUUGACAUCCCGAUGCUAUUUCUAGAGAUAGAAAGUUACUUCGGUACAUCGGUGACAGGUGGUGCAUGGUUGUCGUCAGCUCGUGUCGUGAGAUGUUGGGUUAAGUCCCGCAACGAGCGCAACCCCUAUUGUUAGUUGCCAUCAUUCAGUUGGGCACUCUAGCGAGACUGCCGGUAAUAAACCGGAGGAAGGUGGGGAUGACGUCAAAUCAUCAUGCCCCUUAUGACCUGGGCUACACACGUGCUACAAUGGUUGGUACAACGAGUUGCGAGUCGGUGACGGCAAGCUAAUCUCUUAAAGCCAAUCUCAGUUCGGAUUGUAGGCUGCAACUCGCCUACAUGAAGUCGGAAUCGCUAGU